Long non-coding RNA from Peromyscus eremicus (cactus mouse), 452 nucleotides. RefSeq lists it as uncharacterized. The record is from RefSeq and is a predicted model, not a curated record. The transcript is spliced from 2 exons. NCBI's taxonomy places the organism in Eukaryota, Metazoa, Chordata, Mammalia, Rodentia, Cricetidae.
AGCCUCACGGGGCAGACAAGAGGACCUUUGUCUCCAAGGUUGCUGCCUAGAAUGUUCUCCAAGCCCCACAGAAAUCAGCAUCUCCAAGGGUUUAGAAAGCAAUGGGGAAGGAAAGCAAAGUGCGUCUAAAUGCAGAAUCUGCUCAUCUUCUGAGAGUCUGGGCGAACUUACUGGCUGCUCACUCAAAACCCUGAAGAACAAAUGGCUUUUGAAACAGCAAACCUGUGUUUCGUCAAAGGCAAAGUCAAGAACAGAGACACUGGACAGACUGUCAGCAUGCUCCUAUAAGAGCUUCCUUAGAGCUCAGGAACCACACAGCAAGGAGUACCCCAUCUUGGUGGGUGUGUCUGGGUAGCAGAGGAUGAGUGUGUGUUCAGAAGGGGUGGUGGAAGGGGAGAAAUAUAUGCCACAUUCGUACCCUCACCCAGUUUAUAAAGCUUUACUGGAUCAUA